Molecule: long non-coding RNA, 965 nt
Organism: Prunus persica (peach)
Lineage: Eukaryota; Viridiplantae; Streptophyta; Magnoliopsida; Rosales; Rosaceae
Exons: 2
Source: RefSeq, a predicted model, not a curated record
GCGACGGUGAUAUAUAUGAUAUGAUACGUACAUAUUAUUAUUAUUACACGGCGGUGGCCUACAAAUUCAACUCAUACAAAUCACACCUAUAUGAUACAAACAUACAAACUGAGCCACUGAGCCCUGCAAUUGGUCUAUCUGACCGGACAAUCUCGAGACAAAUGUCCACUCGAGCUUAGGCGUGGCAACCGGAGGUGUUGCCACAUUUUUUUCACCCCCUUCCCUCGGAAAAGUCAGAACAAAUGGAGCAUCGUCUGUCUGGGAGGAGCAUUGUCAUCGCUAUUGUUGUUGUUGUUAGCAGAACAACUCUGCUGAUCCGCUUCCUCAGCUUGUUCCUUGUUCUUCUGCUCCUUCAGCUCUGCAAUCUGAAACCCACCAAAAUUUUAAGCACCUUCUCACUUAAAUUACAUACAUACACCAUCAUGUCCCGGUGCAUUAGACUCUGUGGAUCAAAUACAAUUGUCAAGUGACUUACAAACUCCCACACGUGCAGCUCAAUCCUGCAGUUGGAGAGACAUAUAUAACACAUAGGUCAAGCACCCUCUUCACCUAACAAAUAACAAAGUGGGGACUAGGGUAUUAGAUGACUAUUGGACUCAGGACUCUAUCUCGUGUCUAUGCUUAUCCCAUGUGGGAUUUCUCUUUGUUAUCUAAUUACAUUGUAUUCUUAUCAUACUUCUGUAUAGGGCCACUUGUAGUGUGGUUUGUGAUACAAUGUAGAUGCCACCAGUCCCAAAAGCUUAAGCUCAUGGGAAGUGGAUCAACAGCUUAAGCUCAAAGAAAGCGUACCAACAAUGUAUAUCAAACGUACAUUCUUCAUCGGAAAAUCCGGCAGUUGGUAUCCAAAUAAGUUCAGCUGGGGAUCAUGGAAUCUUCUUAUGUCAUAUAGGAAUGGUGGUUGCACAAAAAUGUAUUAUUAAGGAACUCGAUAUAUGACUUUGGUAGAUUAAGAUAUAUUCCAAUCC